Non-coding RNA from Vicia faba (fava bean), 216 nucleotides. The record is from the annotation of a GenBank genome assembly. Lineage: Eukaryota; Viridiplantae; Streptophyta; Magnoliopsida; Fabales; Fabaceae.
AUGAACUUGAGAAAACAUUACAUUAUGGUUGAUGAUGAAUGGAAUUGGAAAGAAGAUAUAAUGCCAAAAAUAUUUGAUGACCACAAGGUGUAUGAUUUCAUUGAUCCGGAUAUUCUACACACGGUUGAGGAGUUAACAAGAGAAAAAGGAUUAAGGCAAAAAGAAGUUGGAGAUGAUGAUUUUGACAUAGAUGAAAUUGAAUUGACUCCAGAAUAG